Molecule: long non-coding RNA, 1365 nt
Filed under: Daucus carota (carrot)
Lineage: Eukaryota; Viridiplantae; Streptophyta; Magnoliopsida; Apiales; Apiaceae
Description: long non-coding RNA (DCAR_LNC003973)
Source: RNAcentral
AAGGUACGUAGUCCCAGUGACAUGCAAUUUCUUCAACUGUUUCUGUGGAAAACUUAAACUUUCCAGGCGAGACGUAGACAGUGUGAUAUAUCAGCAAGUGGAAUCAAAUCAUCUACAAGACCUGGUCCAAGCCUUUCACACCGUCGAUAUACUCGGAUACCUUCCCUAAAUCUAACAUCCUUUUUUUUACAUGUCUUUAGAGUUUCAACGUCACGGGAUAUGCUAAAUUUUUUAACGAGUAAAAAUGUCCUGUUGGAGGUGAUAAAUCUUUUUUACAUUUUCUUCAUAAUUUUUAUUUACCAAUUUAUUAAUUUUAAUUAGGUAUGAUGAGAUGUCAAUACGAGAUAUACCUUUGGGAUUGCGGAAGGAAUUGCGGAAGAAGAUGAGAUCGAGUCUUGUGGAAUUGCGGAAGAAAUUGAGGUCUGAAUUGGAUUCGAUUAAUUCCACAAACUAUAUAUGAUUGAUAUGUAUUUUAACAGUCGGCUUCAAUGUCUAACAAUUUAAAACCCUUGAUUUUAUUAUGAAAUUAAUCCCUAAUUUUUUUGAAUAUAUGGGCUUUGGUAUGCUAGGGUCCUAAAACAGAUUCGUGAACCAAUAUAUUUCUAGUUGCAUACAGAACAGUAGAACACUAAAAUUAUGAUGAUCAAAGCAUAUAAAACAUAAUUAGCUGAAUUGAUUCUUUCUCUAUAUCAGUCUGUAAAAACUGAUAUUGUAGCGGUGGCUUAUACUAAAUGCUUCUAAGUUCUGCUAUUGUAGAGAGCCGAAGAUGCUGCCCACUGCAUAAUUAUGUUUAUAAAAAAACUAUUUUCUGACAUAAUUAUGUUUAUUGUUUAGUGUUUUAGAAACAAAGUUUGAUUUGAAAUAGAAAAAAGAGAGGAGAAUCUUCAAAAAAAUUUGUUAUCUUGACUGAGCGAUUGUAGCUUUAAAGAGCUUCCAGUCACACACAUUUCUCUAACUUCUUAUGUGGAAACCUUGUCGACAUAGACAGGGUGACAUUUCAGUUACUGGAAGCAAAUGAUCGAGUCAAGUAGACCUGGUAGCUGGUAUCAAGAUCAGGGUCCAGACUCCGGUGACUUGUAGCUUCAUAGUUAUUCCCAGAUUCGCCCUGUCUCGGAACCAUGCCAAGCAGCCAAGGUACGUAGUCCCAGUGACAUGCAAUUUCUUCAACUGUUUCUGUGGAAAACUUAAACUUUCCAGGCGAGACGUAGACAGUGUGAUAUAUCAGCAAGUGGAAUCAAAUCAUCUACAAGACCUGGUCCAAGCCUUUCACACCGUCGAUAUACUCGGAUACCUUCCCUAAAUCUAACAUCCUUUUUUUUACAUGUCUUUAGAGUUUCAACGUCACGGGAUAUGCUAAAUUUUUUA